UGCAGAUCUGCAUAGUGAGUGCGACUGCUGCGCGUAUCUGCUGAUUCAAAAACGGAUCUGGCACAGAUGUAAAUGCUGUCUGGGUAAGGGGGAGA
Molecule: long non-coding RNA, 95 nt
Organism: Alosa sapidissima (American shad)
Lineage: Eukaryota; Metazoa; Chordata; Actinopteri; Clupeiformes; Clupeidae
Exons: 3
Source: RefSeq, a predicted model, not a curated record